GAUGAACGCUGGCGGCGUGCCUAAUACAUGCAAGUCGAGCGAACGGACGAGAAGCUUGCUUCUCUGAUGUUAGCGGCGGACGGGUGAGUAACACGUGGAUAACCUACCUAUAAGACUGGGAUAACUUCGGGAAACCGUAGCUAAUACCGGAUAAUAUUUUGAACCGCAUGGUUCAAAAGUGAAAGACGGUCUUGCUGUCACUUAUAGAUGGAUCCGCGCUGCAUUAGCUAGUUGGUAAGGUAACGGCUUACCAAGGCAACGAUGCAUAGCCGACCUGAAGGGGAGAUCGGCCACACGGGAACUGAGAAACGGUCCAGACUCCUAGGGGAGGACGCAGUAGGGACUCUUCCGCAAUGGGGGAAAGCCUGACGGAGCAACGCCGCGUGAGUGAUGAAGGUCUUCGGAUCGUAAAACUCUGUUAUUAGGGAAGAACAUAUGUGUAAGUAACUGUGCACAUCUUGACGGUACCUAAUCAGAAAGCCACGGCUAACUACGUG
RNAcentral lists this ribosomal RNA (497 nucleotides) under uncultured bacterium. Its description in RNAcentral is "partial 16S ribosomal RNA". It matches the Rfam family "Bacterial small subunit ribosomal RNA", at positions 28 to 507 of the family's 1533-position model. The record is from RNAcentral.